GACGAACCGUGCAAACGUUGUUCGGAAUCACUGGGCUUAAAGGGCGCGUAGGCGGGUUCGUAAGUCUGUGGUGAAAGCCCCCAGCUUAACUGGGGAAGUGCCAUGGAUACUGCGAGUCUUGAGGAGGGUAGGGGCAUCUGGAACACUGGGUGGAGCGGUGAAAUGCGUUGAUAUCCAGUGGAACUCCGGUGGCGAAGGCGGCGACCUGGUUCGAUACUGACACUGAGGUGCGAAAGCGUGGGGAGCAAACAGG
Molecule: ribosomal RNA, 253 nt
Filed under: uncultured bacterium
Lineage: Bacteria
Description: partial 16S ribosomal RNA
Rfam family: Bacterial small subunit ribosomal RNA
Source: RNAcentral